UUUAAUAAUUUAAAAUGAAGUACCCGUACAGAACAAGCACCGUUUUUUAAUCCCCUUGAAACUUUCAAAAACAUCCCUGGAGUUCGCUUUUUUGCUUGCCGGUUAUUCUGCUCAUCUCUGCCGAAGCCGCUGUCGCUAGUGGCUGCUGUCCAGUGGGAUGCUGUUGGACCUGCAAAGAGAGAAGAAAAAGAAGGAGAAAGAGGAGGUAGGGGAUAUCGGAGAGGGAGAAAAGAGAAGGAGGAAGCGUUAUAGGAGGGAGAAUCCGCCGGCUGCUGUUCGGCAUGGCCUCACCAGGCUGCUGGCUGUUGCUGAUUGUCGAUAGCUAUCCGUUGGAGCUGCUCACUGCCAGAAAGAGAGAAAGGAGGAACGAGAGGGGGAGGCACUGCUGGAGAGAGGGCUGUGGCGCUUCGGGAGAGGGGAGAAGAAGAGGGAGUCAUCCUAUGGAAG
Molecule: unclassified non-coding RNA, 447 nt
Filed under: Hevea brasiliensis (rubber tree)
Lineage: Eukaryota; Viridiplantae; Streptophyta; Magnoliopsida; Malpighiales; Euphorbiaceae
Source: RNAcentral